Cryptotermes secundus is the source of this 697-nucleotide long non-coding RNA. RefSeq lists it as uncharacterized. NCBI's taxonomy places the organism in Eukaryota, Metazoa, Arthropoda, Insecta, Blattodea, Kalotermitidae. The record is from RefSeq and is a predicted model, not a curated record. The transcript has 2 exons.
GAAGAGUGGUCAUGGCAUAAUUUGAAGUACAUUCCUUGCAUUUGCCUCAAGGAACAAAAGACAUGUACAGAAAUCUUCAGUUGGGAUAGCUGAUAUCAUGGCUGAGAUUUCAAGUGACCACCUCCAGAACACAAGUCAGAAGUGUUAUUGUGUGAGCCAAAUUGUUUGGUGGGUUAUAUUAACCAACACACAAACCAAACUAAUGGCUAAACACAUAUCUACGUAAGAAAUACAGUUUUGGAUUCAAAAUUAUUCCAGCAUUUCUGAACUGAAUCUACAAAAAUGCUCUCUUGGAUAUAAUAUUUUUAAAAAGUAUUUUGGCUGUUACAUUAAAACAAGCAGCCAUCCCAUACUAUCUAUUAAUCAAGAGAUACACACAGAACAACAAUAAUUUAUUGUUGAUUAUGGUCUUGGGUCAUUGCAGUGUGUGGAUGUCGACAGUUUUGCCAAUUUACAUGCUGCCUCCAUCUUCAGGAUCACAGUGAGUGGGAUAUGCUUGCUGAGCACUUGAAUGGUUGACUGCUUGCAAAAACCAGUUGCUGCUGGCACUUAGGUCCAGUCGGAAGCCUGUAAAAGGGCUGUUUUCGGAAGAAGUGAAGACACUAGAAAAGAUUCUUCUUCAAACUAUUAAGUUUGACUUACAAGUAGAACACCCUUAUAGUUACCUUGAAGAAUAUGCAAAGUGUCUGAAAGGUGA